RNAcentral lists this ribosomal RNA (497 nucleotides) under uncultured bacterium. RNAcentral describes it as "partial 16S ribosomal RNA". It matches the Rfam family "Bacterial small subunit ribosomal RNA", at positions 28 to 507 of the family's 1533-position model. The record is from RNAcentral.
GACGAACGCUGGCGGCGUGCCUAAUACAUGCAAGUUGAGCGAUGAAGAUUGGUGCUUGCACCAAUUUGAAGAGCAGCGAACGGGUGAGUAACGCGUGGGGAAUCUGCCUUUGAGCGGGGGACAACAUUUGGAAACGAAUGCUAAUACCGCAUAACAACUUUAAACAUAAGUUUUAAGUUUGAAAGAUGCAAUUGCAUCACUCAAAGAUGAUCCCGCGUUGUAUUAGCUAGUUGGUGAGGUAAAGGCUCACCAAGGCGAUGAUACAUAGCCGACCUGAGAGGGUGAUCGGCCACAUUGGGACUGAGACACGGCCCAAACUCCUACGGGAGGCAGCAGUGGGGAAUCUUCGGCAAUGGACGAAAGGCUGACCGAGCAACGCCGCGUGAGUGAAGAAGGUUUUCGGAUCGUAAAACUCUGUUGGUAGAGAAGAACGUUGGUGAGAGUGGAAAGCUCAUCAAGUGACGGUAACUACCCAGAAAGGGACGGCUAACUACGUG